Molecule: long non-coding RNA, 1028 nt
Filed under: Anolis carolinensis (green anole)
Lineage: Eukaryota; Metazoa; Chordata; Lepidosauria; Squamata; Anolidae
Description: lncRNA (ENSACAG00000036979.1)
Source: RNAcentral
UUCUACACAGAAUUACUGUGUAUUGAACUACUUUUCUCUGUCAAAUUUGUUGUAUAACAUGAUGUUUUGGUGCGUUAAUUUGUAAAAUCAUAACCUAAUUUGAUGUUUAAUAGGCUUUUCCUUAAUCCCUCCUUAUUAUUUAAGAUAUUUGCUUAUUCAAGCUUAUGCCGGCCCGUUUAGCUUGGAUAAGUGAGACUCUACUGUAAUAAUAUGUACACAGACAAAUACUAAUAAUAUAUUAUUAUCACAACAACAACAUACUAUUAUUAUUAACACAUUCAUAAUAUAUUAUCACUAAUAGUAGUAUUAUAUUCAUAUUUAUAAUACUAAUAACAGUACAUGAGACAAUUAUGAAUAAUAUAUUAUUCACAAUAAUAUAUUAUUAUUGUUAACACAGUAUGCACAUGUGUGCAUGUGGGUCUACAUGUGUGUGUGUGGAUAUAUAAUGUGUGUAGAUAUAGAGUGUCUAUAUGUGUAUCAAUAGCAAUUUGUGGGACUACAUCUGUGGACGUACUAGAUAGACAGACAGACAGACAGACUGUACAUGAGUAUAUAUAGAGAAAAUAUAAGUGUCCUAAGGAUGAUAAUAAUUCAUCUCAUUUGCUGUGUCAUAUUCUGUCUUUGUGUCAAUAAUUAUAAUAAUAAUACUACUACUAAUAAUAAUAGGACCAUUUUGACUUUCUGGAAGGCAAUCCUUGGUCGCUUUGGAGCCCAGCAAUGAAGGAGACCAAGUUGGCGCCAUCCUCCCGGGAAGAUGGCGCCCCCGGGACGAUGGCGCCACAGGCAAGUGCCUAGUUCACCAUAUGGUUGGACCGCCUCUGCUGCCACCCAAUUUCAAUUUAGUAGGACCUGAGCAUGCAUUUCAGCAGAGGUGAAAAUCUUGUUGGUUCAUGGUCCAACUGCAGGCUCAUUCACAAUCCCAUCUCCUUGGAUUAAUCUGCCAGCUCUUUAAGCCCCUAACAAAUAUUUACCCCCUGGAUCAUUUGCUAUCUUUUGUAGGAAAUGCAGAAAGGGACAGACCAAUACAG